UACGAAGGGGCUAGCGUUGCUCGGAAUCACUGGGCGUAAAGGGUGCGUAGGCGGGUCUUUAAGUCAGGGUGAAAUCCUGGAGCUCAACUCCAGAACUGCCUUUGAUACUGAGGAUCUUGAGUUCGGGAGAGGUGAGUGGAACUGCGAGUGUAGAGGUGAAAUUCGUAGAUAUUCGCAAGAACACCAGUGGCGAAGGCGGCUCACUGGCCCGAGUACUGACGCUGAGGCACGAAAGCGUGGGAGCAAACAGG
RNAcentral lists this ribosomal RNA (251 nucleotides) under uncultured bacterium. RNAcentral describes it as "partial 16S ribosomal RNA". It matches the Rfam family "Bacterial small subunit ribosomal RNA", at positions 524 to 776 of the family's 1533-position model. The record is from RNAcentral.